GGAAGGAUCAUUAUCGAAAGUGAAUCCGGAGGGAAAGGAAGGGUAGAGAUUGUCGCUGGCCUUUUUUUUCUUUGGGCAUGUGCACGUCUCGACCACUUUUCUCUUUGUGAGCCUUUUUUUCUUCAUACACCUGUGCACCCGUCGUAGGUCCCGCGAGGGAUCUAUGUUUUCGUCUACUCUGUAACGUAUGGCCAGAAUAUAUAUAUGGUUUCACGGCGUUGGCUUGAAAUGGGCCUCCGCCGGGCGACGAUAAAUAAAAUAAAUACAACUUUCAGCAACGGAUCUCUUGGCUCUCGCAUCGAUGAAGAACGCAGCGAAUUGCGAUAUGUAAUGUGAAUUGCAGAUUUUCAGUGAAUCAUCGAAUCUUUGAACGCACCUUGCGCUCCUUGGUAUUCCGAGGAGCAUGCCUGUUCGAGUGUCAUGAAAUUAUCAACCGUCCCUCGAUUGACUUUGGAGGGAUGGCUUGGAUUUUGGGGGUUGCCGGCCGAAUCCACUGGGAAUGGGUCGGCUCUCCUUGAAAGCAUUAGCGAAAGGUGGCAAGCCCCUGCAUGCACGGUCUUGGACGUGAUAAUGAUCGUCGCGGCUGGAGUGCGCGAGGCGGCAUAGAU
Molecule: ribosomal RNA, 608 nt
Rfam family: 5.8S ribosomal RNA (bases 267-421)